CGAACGGGUGAGUAACGCGUGAGUAACCUGCCUUACACAAGGGGAUAGCCGUUGGAAACGACGAAUAAUACCCUGUGAAACUAUCACUUCGCAUGAAGCGAUAGUCAAAGUGUUAGCGGUGUAAGAUGGACUUGCGUCUGAUUAGCUAGUUGGUGAGAAAAAAGCCCACCAAGGCAACGAUCAGUAGCCGGCUUGAGAGAGUGUACGGCCACAUUGGGACUGAGACACGGCCCAG
This 235-nucleotide ribosomal RNA is filed under the name uncultured Eubacteriales bacterium. RNAcentral describes it as "uncultured Clostridiales bacterium partial 16S ribosomal RNA". It matches the Rfam family "Bacterial small subunit ribosomal RNA", at positions 99 to 334 of the family's 1533-position model. Lineage: Bacteria; Bacillati; Bacillota; Clostridia; Eubacteriales. The record is from RNAcentral.